This 515-nucleotide ribosomal RNA is filed under the name uncultured bacterium. RNAcentral's name for it is "bacterial SSU rRNA". It matches the Rfam family "Bacterial small subunit ribosomal RNA", at positions 774 to 1284 of the family's 1533-position model. The record is from RNAcentral.
AGGAAAUAGAUACCCAGGUAGUCCACGCCCUAAACGAUGCAUAUUUGGUGUGGGCAGUUCAUUCUGUCCGUGCCGGAGCUAACGCGUUAAAUAUGCCGCCUGGGGAGUACAGUCGCAAGGCUGAAACUCAAAGGAAUUGACGGGGGCCCGGCACAAGCGGUGGAGCAUGUGGUUCAAUUCGACGCAACGCGAAGAACCUUACCUGGGCUCGAACGGCUGAUCAACGGCGGUGGAAACAUCGCUACCCCGCAAGGGGGUUUCAGUCGAGGUGCUGCAUGGCUGUCGUCAGCUCGUGUCGUGAGAUGUUGGGUUAAACGUCCCGCAACGAGCGCAACCCUUGUCCUGUGUUGCCAUACCGAAAGGUGGAACUCGCAGGAGACCGCCAGGGAUAACCUGGAGGAAGGUGGGGAUGACGUCAAGUCCUCAUGGCCUUUAUGUCCAGGGCUACACACGUGCUACAAUGGACGGUACAAAGCGCAGCGAACUCGCGAGAGGGAGCCAAUCGCAAAAAACCC